UGGCGGCACAGGGAUUCCUUGGAAGGCCUCCUGCAAGAAGUUUUUGUAAGUGUGUGUGUGUGUAUGCCCUUGUUUUUACAGGAGAAUCACAUUCUUCAGACCACCCGUCUAUCUCGCACAGGCAGACAGAGCACGUCAUGGGUCCUGUCUCCCAAAAGAUAGCACUUUAAAGAUAUCAAAAUGGAAAGCUGUCUGUCUGACUUUCUCAAAUAUAGACAAUCUUAUAGUAUUGUCUAGCUCUCACAACAUACUGAGAUAAGAUGAUAAGGUAGGUGAAGUAUGUCCUGACAUUUUUUACUUUGCCAGUUUUAACUGAGCUCCUCAAAUCCUUUCCUUUCAUUGUCUUCUUACCACCAGCGUCCAGUAUGCAAAAAGAAAGUUGAAAACCACCAAAAACAUCAAAGUAGAAAAGCUGCAAAGCCUCGAGGAAAUGGCCUUCCUUGAUCAUGUGUUGGUUUGCUUUUCUUUAGUUCAUAGGAUCUGAGACUAGUGGCCAUGUCUGUGUCAUCUCUCUUGAGGCUUAUUUCUUUGCUGUUAAACAUUUCAGCUCUUUAAACAUAGAGCAUCUCUCAUUUAUAGGGAGAAUCUAGAAUCUUAGAAUUGGCAAAGUACUUUGAAGCUAUCUGGGUCAAUUUCUCAUCCAUCAAGUAAGACAAAUGCUACUUGUUAUGUUGAGC
Molecule: long non-coding RNA, 677 nt
Filed under: Felis catus (domestic cat)
Lineage: Eukaryota; Metazoa; Chordata; Mammalia; Carnivora; Felidae
Description: lncRNA (ENSFCAG00000045091.2)
Source: RNAcentral